RNAcentral lists this ribosomal RNA (492 nucleotides) under uncultured bacterium. RNAcentral describes it as "partial 16S ribosomal RNA". It matches the Rfam family "Bacterial small subunit ribosomal RNA", at positions 29 to 507 of the family's 1533-position model. The record is from RNAcentral.
AGUGAACGCUGGCGGUAGGCCUAACACAUGCAAGUCGAACGGCAGCACAGUAAGUGCUUGCUCUUACGCGUGGACUGUGGUGGACGGGUGAGGAAUAACUCGGAAUUUACUUUUUCGUGGGGGGUAACGUAGGGAAACUUACGCUAAUACAGUAUCCGACCUACGGGUGGAUGCAGGGUGUCUUCGGACAUUGUGUGCUUGAACGAGCCGAUGUCGGCUUAGCAUGUGGGCGGGGUAAAGGCAUACCAAGGCGACGAUCCGUAGCUGGUCUGAGAGGAUGAGCAGCCACACUGGAACUGGGACAGGGUCCAGACCCCUACGGGAGCCAGAGGUGGGAAAGAUUGGACAAGGAGCGCAAGCCGGAUCCAGCCAUACCGCGUGGGUGAAGAAGGCCUUCGGGUUGGAAAGCCAUUUUGUUGGGAAAGAAAAGCAGCAGGUUAAGACCCCGCUGUUCUGACGGUACCCAAAGAAUAAGCACCGGCUAACUACGUG